This 207-nucleotide ribosomal RNA is filed under the name uncultured bacterium. Its description in RNAcentral is "partial 16S ribosomal RNA". It matches the Rfam family "Bacterial small subunit ribosomal RNA", at positions 568 to 774 of the family's 1533-position model. The record is from RNAcentral.
UGCGUAGGUGGCGCUGUAAGUCGGGUGUGAAAUUUCGGAGCUUAACUCCGAAACUGCAUUCGAUACUGCGGUGCUUGAGGACUGGAGAGGAGACUGGAAUUCAUGGUGUAGCAGUGAAAUGCGUAGAGAUCAUGAGGAAGACCAGUGGCGAAGGCGGGUCUCUGGACAGUUCCUGGCACUGAGGCACGAAGGCCAGGGGAGCAAACG